RNAcentral lists this transfer RNA (74 nucleotides) under Chloroflexota bacterium. Its description in RNAcentral is "Chloroflexi bacterium tRNA-Gln". It matches the Rfam family "tRNA". Rfam says of the family: Transfer RNA (tRNA) molecules are approximately 80 nucleotides in length. Their secondary structure includes four short double-helical elements and three loops (D, anti-codon, and T loops). RNAcentral also lists the same sequence under 2 other names. The record is from RNAcentral. Lineage: Bacteria; Bacillati; Chloroflexota.
UGCCCGGUAGUGUAGCGGUAGCACGUCAGCCUUUGGAGCUGAAGUCCCUGGUUCGAAUCCAGGCCGGGCAGCCA